GAUGAACGCUAGCGGCAGGCCUAAUACAUGCAAGUCGAACGAUACCAAGGGGCUUGCUCCUUGGAAAAGUGGCGCACGGGUGCGUAACGCGUAUGCAACCUACCUUUAUCAGGGGGAUAGCCCGGAGAAAUCCGGAUUAAUACCGCAUAAAAUCACAGGAUGGCAUUAUCCAAUGAUCAAACAUUUAUGGGAUAAAGAUGGGCAUGCGUGUCAUUAGCUAGUUGGCGGGGUAACGGCCCACCAAGGCGACGAUGACUAGGGGAUCUGAGAGGAUGACCCCCCACACUUGUACUGAGACACGAACCAGACUCCUACGGGAGGCAGCAGUAAGGAAUAUUGGUCAAUGGGCGGAAGCCUGAACCAGCCAUGCCGCGUGCAGGAAGACUGCCCUAUGGGUUGUAAACUGCUUUUAUCCGGGAAUAAACCUACUUACGUGUAAGUAGCUGAAUGUACCGGAAGAAUAAGGAUCGGCUAACUCCGUGCCAGCCGCCGCGGUAA
RNAcentral lists this ribosomal RNA (498 nucleotides) under uncultured bacterium. RNAcentral describes it as "partial 16S ribosomal RNA". It matches the Rfam family "Bacterial small subunit ribosomal RNA", at positions 28 to 523 of the family's 1533-position model. The record is from RNAcentral.